UACGGAGGGGGCGAGCGUUAUUCGGAAUUAUUGGGCGUAAAGGGCGCGUAGGCGGCUUGUUAAGUCAAAGGUGAAAUCCCUCGGCUCAACCGGGGAACUGCGUCUGAUACUGGUUGGCUUGAAUCCGGGAGAGGGAUGUGGAAUUCCAGGUGUAGCGGUGAAAUGCGUAGAUAUCUGGAGGAACACCGGUGGCGAAGGCGGCAUCCUGGACCGGUAUUGACGCUGAGGAGCGAAAGCCAGGGGAGCAAACGGG
This 253-nucleotide ribosomal RNA is filed under the name uncultured bacterium. RNAcentral describes it as "partial 16S ribosomal RNA". It matches the Rfam family "Bacterial small subunit ribosomal RNA", at positions 524 to 776 of the family's 1533-position model. The record is from RNAcentral.